UACGUAGGGUGCAAGCGUUGUCCGGAAUUAUUGGGCGUAAAGAGCUCGUAGGCGGUCUGUCGCGUCUGCUGUGAAAACUCGGGGCUUAACCCCGGGCCUGCAGUGGGUACGGGCAGACUAGAGGUAUGCAGGGGAGAACGGAAUUCCUGGUGUAGCGGUGAAAUGCGCAGAUAUCAGGAGGAACACCGGUGGCGAAGGCGGUUCUCUGGGCCGUAACUGACGCUGAGGAGCGAAAGCGUGGGGAGCGAACAGG
Molecule: ribosomal RNA, 253 nt
Filed under: uncultured bacterium
Lineage: Bacteria
Description: partial 16S ribosomal RNA
Rfam family: Bacterial small subunit ribosomal RNA
Source: RNAcentral